UGCUCAGAUUGAACGCUGGCGGCAGGCCUAACACAUGCAAGUCGAGCGGUAACAGGAAGGAAGCUUGCUUUCUUUGCUGACGAGCGGCGGACGGGUGAGUAAUGCCUGGGAAAUUGCCCUGAUGUGGGGGAUAACCAUUGGAAACGAUGGCUAAUACCGCAUGAUGCCUACGGGCCAAAGAGGGGGACCUUCGGGCCUCUCGCGUCAGGAUAUGCCCAGGUGGGAUUAGCUAGUUGGUGAGGUAAUGGCUCACCAAGGCGACGAUCCCUAGCUGGUCUGAGAGGAUGAUCAGCCACACUGGAACUGAGACACGGUCCAGACUCCUACGGGAGGCAGCAGUGGGGAAUAUUGCACAAUGGGCGCAAGCCUGAUGCAGCCAUGCCGCGUGUAUGAAGAAGGCCUUCGGGUUGUAAAGUACUUUCAGUGGUGAGGAAGGGGGUGUGGUUAAUAGCCAUAUUCUUUGACGUUAGCCACAGAAGAAGCACCGGCUAACUCCGUGCCAGCAGCCGCGGUAAUACGGAGGGUGCGAGCGUUAAUCGGAAUUACUGGGCGUAAAGCGCAUGCAGGUGGUUUGUUAAGUCAGAUGUGAAAGCCCGGGGCUCAACCUCGGAGUUGCAUUUGAAACUGGCAGGCUAGAGUACUGUAGAGGGGGGUAGAAUUUCAGGUGUAGCGGUGAAAUGCGUAGAGAUCUGAAGGAAUACCGGUGGCGAAGGCGGCCCCCUGGACAGAUACUGACACUCAGAUGCGAAAGCGUGGGGAGCAAACAGGAUUAGAUACCCUGGUAGUCCACGCUGUAAACGAUGUCUACUUGGAGGUUGUGGCCUUGAGCCGUGGCUUUCGGAGCUAACGCGUUAAGUAGACCGCC
This 865-nucleotide ribosomal RNA is filed under the name Vibrio sp. DN25. RNAcentral describes it as "bacterial SSU rRNA". It matches the Rfam family "Bacterial small subunit ribosomal RNA", at positions 21 to 873 of the family's 1533-position model. Lineage: Bacteria; Pseudomonadati; Pseudomonadota; Gammaproteobacteria; Vibrionales; Vibrionaceae. The record is from RNAcentral.